RNAcentral lists this ribosomal RNA (251 nucleotides) under uncultured bacterium. RNAcentral describes it as "partial 16S ribosomal RNA". It matches the Rfam family "Bacterial small subunit ribosomal RNA", at positions 524 to 774 of the family's 1533-position model. The record is from RNAcentral.
UACAGAGGGUGCGAGCGUUAAUCGGAAUUACUGGGCGUAAAGCGUGCGUAGACGGUUAUUUAAGUCGGGUGUGAAAGCCCCGGGCUCAACCUGGGAAUUGCAUUCGAGACUGAAUAGCUAGGGUACGGUAGAGGGAAGCGGAAUUUCCGGUGUAGCGGUGAAAUGCGUAGAUAUCGGAAGGAACAUCAGUGGCGAAAGCGGCUUCCUGGACCAGUACCGACGUUCAGGCACGAAAGCGUGGGGAACAAACA